This is an RNA transcript of Patella vulgata (common limpet), 2488 nucleotides long. RefSeq lists it as uncharacterized. The transcript is spliced from 5 exons. The record is from RefSeq and is a predicted model, not a curated record. Lineage: Eukaryota; Metazoa; Mollusca; Gastropoda; Patellidae.
AAUACUGGAUCUUCAAUGAGUUACUUUCUAUUUUUCACUCGGCAACCGGCUGCAGAUUUCACUCGGCCAACUUCGGUUACUCCUCUACACCAAACCAUGUUUCCAAACAGAGUUAUCUUUCCGUGACCCGCAAAUUAUAUUUUUAACAAUGAGUUGAAUUCUAUAGGAGGUGUUGGAACUCCCGCAAACAGUGCCGGUGGUGCAAAGAAGAAAUGGGAAACAUUACCAGGCUGCCAGACACGCCCCAUUGAUAACAAAGGUCUGCCUGCUGCCGCUGUACACAAAACACCCAACCCAGAACCAAUCGAUGCCACAAAAUUGCCGCUAGCAGAAAAAAUUCGACGACUUUCAAUGUUUUUACGAAGUGAAAAAAAAGUAAUCAAUGAAAUUAUGUUGUUUGAGAAUUCUCUGAUGAGUUGUAAAGUUGGAAUUUGACCAGAUUUUUUGAUCGAUGGCAUGGUACAAGGAAAGAACGGAUCCUUUUUCACUGGACGACUUAAUCUGGGUGGUGUGUUCCUAGCCAGAGCUAUCGGCAUCAACAAGAAAGAAAUCAAACUGUCAUGUUUCAAGAAGGCGGUGGAACUUUAUCGUACCCUUCCUGUCACUGAAAUUUUGAACCAGGAUGAUAUGACCCCAAAAGUUAUCAAGGAGAAACUGGAGAAUUUUAACUCGACCGUUGCUAAGAUGGAGAAAGAAACAAUUGCAGAGUUACCCCCACCAUCUAUUUUGAAACAGAUCCAAGAUAUUCUAACCAAUCCUAAAUAUGCUUCAACCAAUUCAGUCAGCAAAAUGGAGUUGGCGGCCUCUGUGGCUAAAUGUCGAGUCCGUUGUCGAUAUGAUGUAGAGAGUUGUAAAGCUGAAUCAGGGAAAGUUUAUCAUAAGGGAAUGUACUUUAUUGACAACAUACUACAAGGUGCAGGUGUUUCAGUUUCCAAAAAAACUGCUAAGUCAUUGUGUUAUAAUAUGGUGGUUGAACGACUGACCACCAUGAAUGUUGAACAUGGCAACAUCUUAGAUGGUGUCGAACAGUCUGUCAUAACAGAAGCAGAAGCACAGGUUCAGAGCACUUUGGUAAAGGCAGCACCAAAUCCUAGGGCAUUUGAUCUCCGUGAACAGUUUGUCAAAAUGAACGAACUUAGCAGUGCCACGCAUCCUGCAUCCAUCAUUACUGUCUUGGAUGGAAUUUUCAACGAUGUAAAAUUGACGCCCAUUUGUCUAUACCGUCGUAGCAUGAACACAGAAAUAGAAAAGGAGAAAAUUUUCUGUAACCUCUAUCUAGCUGGUCAUCUCAUCAUGAUUGGUGAAGCAGAGAACCGAACAGAUACCCAAGCAGACGCUUACUCUAAAGCCCGAUAGGUUUCACGAACUGUGACCCCGAGUUCAUCCUCCCCCAACACAGUAAACUUCAACCACACGACCAAGCAGCAACAGAUGUUAUCGACUUUCGUGUCAAGGGCAACUGCAUUUUGGAAGAUAACUGUUCGAAUCUUCAUCGCUUACAAUGGACCCGAAAACCUAUAUCAACACUACCAGCCAAGGAUAUCGCUGUCUUUGAGGACGUCAGUUGGAUAGUAGAUCGUAAAGUUCAAGGUUUCUAUAUUUUACAACAUUCAUGUUUUGUCAACAAUAUGUUGUUGGAAUGGGAGUUUUUUGACAAUGAUGAUCGUGUAUUCAGAUGUCAGAUGAAGAUACAGAAGGAAGAUGUUGGAACCGAACCUGCAGUGUCUCUUAGUAAGAUAGGCUCUAGAAAUUUUGCAGCAGCUGAUAUCUUGUUUAAGCUCUACGAAACACAACCAGUCAUAGAGGUUUCUGCUUACACUAAACCUGAUCAAGCGAUAGAAUCUGUCAGUUUUGAUACGUUGCUUAAAGAAGCGGAGGUGUUGAAGAAAGCUGCCGAGGAUGCAGGAGAAAACGUUACAGCUACUACAGCUGAGGGAACUGAUUCAGAAACUGAGACCAGUGACACAGAUGUUGAAAUGAAGGAAGAAGUAACAGAUUCACAGGCUAAGAAGAAAUAUCCUAGAAAACCACAUUACCGUCAUGCUGAUAGAUUUAUUUUAAAAGCUGCCCAGGCACGACUAGACGAAUUCAUAAAAGUUAAAAUGCUAAAAGAUCUACUGUUUGGACCUGCUUUCCCUCAUCAUAUCACACGCCAGAUUAACGGCUUACUGUAUAACCUCCCCGUUCCAGUUCGCUUUAUAAAUCAUUCCACUAGAAAUCAGAUGUACACCAUUGUAACGCAAAGUAUGUCACCGAUCAAAAUUGUCGCAUUUCUCAAAGCCAACGGUGGACAGUCUGGUCGCUUUCGUUUAGUCGACAAAUCAGAACUUCCGACACAUAAGGACAUUUUACCAGAACUUAAAAGUAGGGAAAUUUUAACUAAGAUCAAAUCCAAAUUUUAGUAGAAAUUUCAAUUUUGAUUGGCUAAGCACUAAAACCAAUCAAAUUGUUGGCUUUUUUUUGCUAAUAAAUAUAAGUGCUAGUCUAA